UAAGCGACUGAGCGUACACGGUGGAUGCCUAGGCAGUCAGAGGCGAUGAAGGGCGUGCUAAUCUGCGAAAAGCGUCGGUAAGCUGAUAUGAAGCGUUAUAACCGACGAUACCCGAAUGGGGAAACCCAGUGCAAUACGUUGCACUAUCGUUAGGUGAAUACAUAGUCUAACGAGGCGAACCGGGGGAACUGAAACAUCUAAGUACCCCGAGGAAAAGAAAUCAACCGAGAUUCCCCCAGUAGCGGCGAGCGAACGGGGAGGAGCCCAGAGUCUGAAUCAGUUUGUGUGUUAGUGGAAGCGUCUGGAAAGUCGCACGGUACAGGGUGAUAGUCCCGUACACCAAAAUGCACAGGCUGUGAACUCGAUGAGUAGGGCGGGACACGUGACAUCCUGUCUGAAUAUGGGGGGACCAUCCUCCAAGGCUAAAUACUCCUGACUGACCGAUAGUGAACCAGUACCGUGAGGGAAAGGCGAAAAGAACCCCGGCGAGGGGAGUGAAAUAGAACCUGAAACCGUGUACGUACAAGCAGUGGGAGCACCUUCGUGGUGUGACUGCGUACCUUUUGUAUAAUGGGUCAGCGACUUAUAUUUUGUAGCAAGGUUAACCGAAUAGGGGAGCCGUAGGGAAACCGAGUCUUAACUGGGCGUCUAGUUGCAAGGUAUAGACCCGAAACCCGGUGAUCUAGCCAUGGGCAGGUUGAAGGUUGGGUAACACUAACUGGAGGACCGAACCGACUAAUGUUGAAAAAUUAGCGGAUGACUUGUGGCUGGGGGUGAAAGGCCAAUCAAACCGGGAGAUAGCUGGUUCUCCCCGAAAGCUAUUUAGGUAGCGCCUCGUGAACUCAUCUUCGGGGGUAGAGCACUGUUUCGGCUAGGGGGCCAUCCCGGCUUACCAAACCGAUGCAAACUCCGAAUACCGAAGAAUGUUAUCACGGGAGACACACGGCGGGUGCUAACGUCCGUCGUGAAGAGGGAAACAACCCAGACCGCCAGCUAAGGUCCCAAAGUCAUGGUUAAGUGGGAAACGAUGUGGGAAGGCACAGACAGCCAGGAUGUUGGCUUAGAAGCAGCCAUCAUUUAAAGAAAGCGUAAUAGCUCACUGGUCGAGUCGGCCUGCGCGGAAGAUGUAACGGGGCUAAACCAUGCACCGAAGCUGCGGCAGCGACACUUAGGUGUUGUUGGGUAGGGGAGCGUUCUGUAAGCCGUUGAAGGUGACCUGUGAGGGUUGCUGGAGGUAUCAGAAGUGCGAAUGCUGACAUAAGUAACGAUAAUGCGGGUGAAAAACCCGCACGCCGGAAGACCAAGGGUUCCUGUCCAACGUUAAUCGGGGCAGGGUGAGUCGACCCCUAAGGCGAGGCUGAAAAGCGUAGUCGAUGGGAAACAGGUUAAUAUUCCUGUACUUGGUGUUACUGCGAAGGGGGGACGGAGAAGGCUAGGCUGGCCGGGCGACGGUUGUCCCGGUUUAAGCGUGUAGGGGGAGUGACCAGGUAAAUCCGGUUGCUUAUCAACCCUGAGGCGUGAUGACGAUGCACUACGGUGCAGAAGCAGUUGAUGCCAUGCUUCCAGGAAAAGCCUCUAAGCAUCAGGUAACAUUAAAUCGUACCCCAAACCGACACAGGUGGUCAGGUAGAGAAUACUCAGGCGCUUGAGAGAACUCGGGUGAAGGAACUAGGCAAAAUGGUGCCGUAACUUCGGGAGAAGGCACGCUGGCGUUAGGUGAAAGGACUAGCUCCUGGAGCUGAAGCCAGUCGCAGAUACCAGCUGGCUGCAACUGUUUAAUAAAAACACAGCACUGUGCAAACACGAAAGUGGACGUAUACGGUGUGACGCCUGCCCGGUGCUGGAAGGUUAAUUGAUGGGGUCAGCCGCAAGGCGAAGCUCUUGAUCGAAGCCCCAGUAAACGGCGGCCGUAACUAUAACGGUCCUAAGGUAGCGAAAUUCCUUGUCGGGUAAGUUCCGACCUGCACGAAUGGCGUAAUGAUGGCCAGGCUGUCUCCACCCGAGACUCAGUGAAAUUGAACUCGCUGUGAAGAUGCAGUGUACCCGCGGCAAGACGGAAAGACCCCGUGAACCUUUACUAUAGCUUGACACUGAACAUUGAGCCUUGAUGUGUAGGAUAGGUGGGAGGCCUUGAAGUGUGGACGCCAGUCUGCAUGGAGCCAACCUUGAAAUACCACCCUUUAAUGUUUGAUGUUCUAACUCGGCCCCAUAAUCUGGGGUGAGGACAGUGUCUGGUGGGUAGUUUGACUGGGGCGGUCUCCUCCCAAAGAGUAACGGAGGAGCACGAAGGUUAGCUAAUCACGGUCGGACAUCGUGAGGUUAGUGCAAAGGCAUAAGCUAGCUUGACUGCGAGAGUGACGGCUCGAGCAGGUACGAAAGUAGGUCUUAGUGAUCCGGUGGUUCUGAAUGGAAGGGCCAUCGCUCAACGGAUAAAAGGUACUCCGGGGAUAACAGGCUGAUACCGCCCAAGAGUUCAUAUCGACGGCGGUGUUUGGCACCUCGAUGUCGGCUCAUCACAUCCUGGGGCUGAAGUAGGUCCCAAGGGUAUGGCUGUUCGCCAUUUAAAGUGGUACGCGAGCUGGGUUUAGAACGUCGUGAGACAGUUCGGUCCCUAUCUGCCGUGGGCGUUGGAAGAUUGAGAGGGGCUGCUCCUAGUACGAGAGGACCGGAGUGGACGAAUCACUGGUGUUCGGGUUGUCAUGCCAAUGGCAUUGCCCGGUAGCUAAAUUCGGAAGAGAUAACCGCUGAAAGCAUCUAAGCGGGAAACUUGCCUCGAGAUGAGUCUUCCCUGGGGCUUAAAGCCCCCUGAAGGAACGUUAAAGACUAUGACGUUGAUAGGCUGGGUGUGUAAGUGCAGCGAUGUAUUGAGCUAACCAGUACUAAUGAUCCGUGAGGCUUAACCU
This 2903-nucleotide ribosomal RNA is filed under the name Yersinia pseudotuberculosis. RNAcentral's name for it is "bacterial LSU rRNA". It matches the Rfam family "Bacterial large subunit ribosomal RNA". The record is from RNAcentral. Lineage: Bacteria; Pseudomonadati; Pseudomonadota; Gammaproteobacteria; Enterobacterales; Yersiniaceae.